This 479-nucleotide ribosomal RNA is filed under the name uncultured bacterium. RNAcentral's name for it is "partial 16S ribosomal RNA". It matches the Rfam family "Bacterial small subunit ribosomal RNA", at positions 28 to 507 of the family's 1533-position model. The record is from RNAcentral.
GAUGAACGCUAGCGGGGGGCCUAACACAUGCAAGCCGAGCGGACUUUGAUCUUCCGUACAGCUAGGGCGGCGCACGGGUGCGGAACACUUAUGCAACCUUCCUUUAUCUAGGGGAUAGCCUUUCGAACGGAAAAUUAAUACCCCAUCAUAUAUUGAUUUGCAUCCCUUGAUAUUUAAAGCUCCGGUGGGUAGUGCUGGGACCGCGCGAGAUUAGCUAGUUGGUGAGGUAACGUCGCACCAAAACAAUGUACUAUAGGGGGCCGGAGUGGGUGAUCCCCCACACUUGUACUGCGACACGGACCAGAAUCCUACGGGAGGCAGCAGAGAGGAAUACUGGACAAUGGGUUAGCGCCUGAUCCAGCCAUCCCGCGUGAAGGACGUCGGCCCUAUGGGUUGUAAACUUCUUUGGUAGAGGGAUAAUCCUACUAUCGUGAGAGUAGCUGAAGGUACUAUACGAAUAAGCACCGGCUAACUCCGUG